GAUGAACGCUAGCGGCAGGCCUAAUACAUGCAAGUCGGACGGGAUUUGGGAGCUUGCUCCUAAUGAGAGUGGCGCACGGGUGCGUAACACGUAUGUAACCUACCUUAAUCAGGGGGAUAGCCUCUCGAAAGAGAGAUUAACACCGCAUAAUAUAUUUUUAUGGCAUCGUAGAAAUAUCAAAUAUUUAUAGGAUUAAGAUGGGCAUGCGGAACAUUAGCUAGUUGGUAAGGUAACGUCUUACCAAGGCUACGAUGUUUAGGGGAUCUGAGAGGAUGACCCCCCACACUGGUACUGAGACACGGACCAGACUCCUACGGGAGGCAGCAGUAAGGAAUAUUGGUCAAUGGGCGCAAGCCUGAACCAGCCAUGCCGCGUGCAGGAAGACGGCCCUAUGGGUUGUAAACUGCUUUUGUACCGGAAUAAACCCUUUUACGUGUAAGAGGCUGAAUGUACGGUAAGAAUAAGGAUCGGCUAACUCCGUGCCAGCAGCCGCGGUAA
This 498-nucleotide ribosomal RNA is filed under the name uncultured bacterium. RNAcentral's name for it is "partial 16S ribosomal RNA". It matches the Rfam family "Bacterial small subunit ribosomal RNA", at positions 28 to 523 of the family's 1533-position model. The record is from RNAcentral.